GACGAACGCUGGCGGCGUGCUUAACACAUGCAAGUCGAACGGAAAGGCCCUGCUUGCCGGGUACUCGAGUGGCGAACGGGUGAGUAACACGUGGGUGAUCUGCCCUGCACUUCGGGAUAAGCCUGGGAAACUGGGUCUAAUACCGGAUAGGAGCCAUUUUUAGUGUGAUGGUUGGAAAGUUUUUUCGGUGUAGGAUGAGCUCGCGGCCUAUCAGCUUGUUGGUGGGGUAAUGGCCUACCAAGGCGGCGACGGGUAGCCGGCCUGAGAGGGUGGACGGCCACAGUGGGACUGAGAGACGGCCCAGACUCCGACGGGAGGCAGCAGUGGGGAAUAUUGCACAAUGGGCGCAAGCCUGAUGCAGCGACGCCGCGGGGGGGAUGACGGCCUUCGGGUUGUAAACUCCUUUCGCUAGGGACGAAGCUUUUUGUGACGGUACCUAGAGAAGAAGCACCGGCUAACUACGUG
RNAcentral lists this ribosomal RNA (465 nucleotides) under uncultured bacterium. Its description in RNAcentral is "partial 16S ribosomal RNA". It matches the Rfam family "Bacterial small subunit ribosomal RNA", at positions 28 to 507 of the family's 1533-position model. The record is from RNAcentral.